RNAcentral lists this transfer RNA (76 nucleotides) under Miniimonas arenae. RNAcentral's name for it is "tRNA-Phe". It matches the Rfam family "tRNA". From Rfam's summary of the family: Transfer RNA (tRNA) molecules are approximately 80 nucleotides in length. The record is from RNAcentral. Lineage: Bacteria; Bacillati; Actinomycetota; Actinomycetes; Micrococcales; Beutenbergiaceae. RNAcentral also lists the same sequence under 1 other name.
GGCUCUGUAGCUCAGUUGGUAGAGCGCACGACUGAAAAUCGUGAGGUCACGGGAUCGACGCCCGUCGGAGCCACCC